Non-coding RNA from Rattus norvegicus (Norway rat), 70 nucleotides. Lineage: Eukaryota; Metazoa; Chordata; Mammalia; Rodentia; Muridae. The record is from Rfam.
GGGGAUUUAGCUCAGUGGUAGAGCGCUUGCCUAGCAAAGUGCAAGGCCCUGGGUUCGGUCCCCAGCUCCG